RNAcentral lists this ribosomal RNA (420 nucleotides) under uncultured bacterium. RNAcentral's name for it is "partial 16S ribosomal RNA". It matches the Rfam family "Bacterial small subunit ribosomal RNA", at positions 360 to 776 of the family's 1533-position model. The record is from RNAcentral.
AAUAUUGGGCAAUGGACGCAAUUCUGACUCAGCCAUGCCGCGUGAAGGAUGAAGGCGNNNUGCGUNGUAAACUUCUUUUAUUGNGGCNGAAACCACCGAUUUCUAUUGGUGUUGACGGUACCCAAGGAAUAAGCACCGGCUAACUCCGUGCCAGCAGCCGCGGUAAUACGGAGGGUGCAAGCGUUAUCCGGAUUCACUGGGUUUAAAGGGUGCGCAGGCGGGCUGUUAAGUCAGUGGUGAAAUCUCCGAGCUCAACUCGGAAACUGCCGCUGAUACUAUCAGUCUUGAAUACUGUUGAGGUGGGCGGAAUAGGUCAUGUAGCGGUGAAAUGCAUAGAUAUGACCUGGAACCCCAAUUGCGAAGGCAGCUCACUAAGCAGAUUAUUGACGCUCAGGCACGAAAGCGUGGGGAUCAAACAGG